Molecule: long non-coding RNA, 1249 nt
Organism: Raphanus sativus (radish)
Lineage: Eukaryota; Viridiplantae; Streptophyta; Magnoliopsida; Brassicales; Brassicaceae
Exons: 2
Source: RefSeq, a predicted model, not a curated record
GAUUAUUUUUGAAUGUGUUAUUUCCGUUAUCAACUCGAAAACACUAUCGGUAGAACUCUUUGGAGUUCUCAUGCAUAUCGAAUUACUAUCUUUUUUUUCUCUUUUUUCCUUGUUUCUUUUGUUGGCCGUGAAACUAAUGUUGCCGCUGACUCUUUAGCAAAGUUCGCGCUGCAUAGGUCUCCCCAGGUCUUGUAUCGAACCUUUGAUCUUUCUAUAUAAUUGAACCUUUGAUCUUUCUUUCUUUUUUCCCUCUGAUGAAAUUCAUUCCAAAUCGAAAAUACAAGUUUUAAUACAACGACUGGCGACAUAACGAAUAAACCCCAGAAACAAAAGCCUACAAGAGAGGCGACUAGAGCCCACAAGAGAGGCGACUAAAACCCACACCGGGGCACCUUACAUCAACAACAUAAAAACUAAACUCGCCACAACACCAGAAAACCAAUUAACAACUACACUGGAGCACAACACAAAGCAAAUUGGCAAACUUACGAACUAAGCAGAAGCUAAUGAUCGGGAUGUACCGUUGCUCACGAUAACCUCCACCUCUAACACCCAAAGACACCAUGACUUACCGCUGCCGCUUUCGCCGCCCAACGAUAACGUCUAAGAACCACGACUCGAGACUUCAUAACCUGAUAAGACCCGAUAAGAGGGAUCGCUUUACGACCCAAACAACCUUCGGAGAGGGAUGCAACGCAAUCAUAAACGUCCAAUUUCUCUUAGAUAGAAGCUCAGCCAAACCACCACAAAGACGAGGUUUUGCCCACCGAAAUGCUCCGGACUCACUCACGGAGGAACAACGGAACGGCAAGCAAACACUGCGACCACCACCACUAGAAGAUAAUCUGCUAAAUCAAGUGUUAACUCCAAGUAGAGAGACAUUGGAUCCUUAUUUGAGCGAGGACAAAGGAGAACCAACUUCAACACUCGCAGAGGCGCAUUCAUGUGUCGGCCUCGGAACCUACGGCUUUCACAUUAGACCAUGUUUUGUUUCCAACGAUGUCGAGCUCGUACCACCGGUUAGAGAAGGAAUUCCUCACCGUCGUUAGGAUGAGCCCCACCAUAUACCGACUACCAGGCUGUCUAAAGCUUCCGUACAUUCACCCGACUUUCUCUCUUUUGUACAACACGCGCCGCCUCUUGAUUAGUUUCAUCUAAUUAUUUUGAUUUUCAGUGGUUCUGAACUACCGUUUUUCUUUUUAAUGUAUAAGAUCAUUUCUAAGAAGGAAUCAAGAAUUUAUUUUUAUGA